GAUGAACGCUGGCGGCGUGCCUAAUACAUGCAAGUCGAGCGAACAGAUAAGGAGCUUGCUCCUUUGACGUUAGCGGCGGACGGGUGAGUAACACGUGGGUAACCUACCUAUAAGACUGGGAUAACUUCGGGAAACCGGAGCUAAUACCGGAUAACAUUUGGAACCGCAUGGUUCUAAGUGAAAGAUGGUUUUGCUAUCACUUAUAGAUGGACCCGCGCCGUAUUAGCUAGUUGGUAAGGUAACGGCUUACCAAGGCAACGAUACGUAGCCGACCUGAGAGGGUGAUCGGCCACACUGGAACUGAGACACGGUCCAGACUCCUACGGGAGGCAGCAGUAGGGAAUCUUCCGCAAUGGGCGAAAGCCUGACGGAGCAACGCCGCGUGAGUGAUGAAGGGUUUCGGCUCGUAAAACUCUGUUAUUAGGGAAGAACAAACGUGUAAGUAACUGUGCACGUCUUGACGGUACCUAAUCAGAAAGCCACGGCUAACUACGUG
This 496-nucleotide ribosomal RNA is filed under the name uncultured bacterium. RNAcentral's name for it is "partial 16S ribosomal RNA". It matches the Rfam family "Bacterial small subunit ribosomal RNA", at positions 28 to 507 of the family's 1533-position model. The record is from RNAcentral.